AUUCCAGUGGACUUCUCAGAAAAUUGUAAAUGGCUGAAUUGUCCCUGAGGCAGAAGGCUUACUUUAUUUUUUUCAAAACAAGAUAUUUUCUCAUUCUUUGCUAGUCUCGAUAUGCUAAAGAAUUACUGUGCAGAUCAUAAUAGUCUGUCUAUGAAUUGCAUGCAUUUUAUAACUAUUUGCAAGUGUUCAGGAAUACAUUUGAUUUAGUGCACAUGUGAUUUGACAUCGUUUGUAAGGGUUCCACUUAUAUGGCCUUGAUUUAGUAUUUAAACUUUCUUUGUCAAACAUGGAAAAAAUGUUUAGUAUUUUCUUUACAAAAUUUCUCAAGUGAGGAAUCAGGAGAAGCACAAGUCAAAUAAUACUUUCAAAGAAAGAAAAACAAUCCUGAUGAACAAUGCCCAUAGUGUACAAAUAGCAGAAAGGAAGUAUGUAUACAGACAAUGAGAGGCUAAGAGACAUUGUUCACAGGAUAAAUUUGAUUAAUGGUCACACUGAUUUUGUGACAAUAAUUCUGGAAGGGAUUUAGGGCUGAGAUGAAACGACGGACAAAAGAGAAGAUAGCAACCAGUGCUUCAAUGACUGCAUACAAUCCAGUGGUGGAGCUCAUCUGACACCACAGGAAGCUCAGGUCGCUUGGACAAUUGACCCAAAGUUCAUCCCAGAGAUUUCUGACUGUGACAUCACUACAGUGCAUAGGUGAGCUUUUUGAUAGGUUCACAGACAUUUAUGUCACAAUCACAAAAAAGUGUAUUGAAAGUUGUGCCUUGGGAUCCAGCUUAGUGAUUCCUCCAUCUUCCUGGCCUCAGAUACAGUGGUUGUUGCUCCUCUAUUUGAUUGCCA
Pantherophis guttatus is the source of this 840-nucleotide non-coding RNA. The record is from RefSeq and is a predicted model, not a curated record. Lineage: Eukaryota; Metazoa; Chordata; Lepidosauria; Squamata; Colubridae.